AGCAUUGUGUUGGGUUAGUGUCAAAAACUCAACUGAAGGCGCCAAUUUGUUGUUGCGAUGAUUGAUCUUCGUAGUCCACCCAUUCUUGUGCUCCACAGCUUCUCAUCAAUGUCCAUGAAAUGAAAUGGAGGAGGUUGAUUCUUGAGGCUCAAACUCCAACUAAUCCAACGAAUUUCAGAUACAGAGACUCCUAAUUCACCAUCGCAAUGCUGAUUCAAGCUCACUCCCAAAACCCCCAUUUCUUCUUUCUUCCCCAAAACCCUUCAAUUUCCCCCCACUUCUCCUUCCAUGUUUCUCAUUCACGUGAACUCAAAUCGCCGAUGGGUCGACGAAAUGAAUCAAUGUCUAGGAUUUCAGCUUCCGGGGAGCACACUCCCACCAUCAUUUUGGGCAAAAAAAGAAAGGUUUUCGAACACAUUUCUUUGCUCAAAGCGAAGGAAAAUAUUUCUGAAGAAGAAGAGAAUGAUAUGCUUGAUUAUCUCUAUACCACGCAGUAUCAAAUGAAGGGCAUUGUUGCCGUUUCAUUAGGACGUGCUUGUGAUCAAAAUAAUGAAAGCUAUACCCAUGGUGUGUAUAUGCGUUUCCAAAGAAAGGAAGACCUUGAAAAAUUCUAUGUGAACCCUUUCUACUUGCGAGUACUAAAUGAGCAUGUGAUGCCUUAUUGUCAUGGACUGAUUCAUGUGGAUUAUGAAUCAGAGGUGGAAGAUGACAUGCUCCCCAUAUUUCGGAAAGGAGAGGAGUUCAACUACGGUGUGGAGUUUGUGCUUCUCAUUAAAUUUCUUCAAGAUUCAUUUGGCAAACCUUUAGAAGAUGCACUAAAUUCUCUCGAGAGACUAACAAUUGAUAAUCCUUCCUUAAUUGUCCAGGUUACACAAGGUUUAAAUUUUAAUCCCAGUUGUAAGGAGUUCACACAUGGUGUAGUUAUACGAUUUCGGUCAAUCAAAGCCUUUGAGAUAUUUACAGGCAGCUCAGAUUACAAAGAUAUGUGGAAGUCGAAAUUCCAACCAAUCAUCCAGAAAACAGUGUCUCUUCACUUCUCUGUUGACCCAGUAGGGACGGAGAUCAUGUAGCAAGGAGUAUUCUUGGUUUUGGCACCAGAGUUGGUUUUAUAUCUUACAAGCGCAAGGCUUGGCUACCAUUAAUCUGACAUGAAUGCGGAAUCAGGAGGUACAGAUUCUUGCGUUUGAUUUCUAGCUUGUAACGUUCUCUGCACCCACUCACUUGGAUGGUGCGGCCAUUUUAUACAUGUUCUGGAUGCUAUUUUUCUAUUUUGUACAACUCAUAUGAUAGGAACUUGAGAUAUUUAAUUCGCAUUGAGAAAAAUCUGUAUACCGAAUCUUAUGCAAUCUGAUAUUUGUAUUUAUUCUUACUGUUACCUUUAUUGGUACACAUUUUCCCCGCUGAGUGAGAGCUAAGGCUUUCAACUUAAUUUUUGUGCAAAGACAGAGAAUCACCCAGGGAACAUAUGCUCUUAGUUAUUGUCUGGACUAAUGAGACGACCAAAGUAGCUGAAAGAGGCAGUUUCCUUCAAUACUCAGGAUGCUGCAAAAUCUUGAAUGGGUUCUAUCAGUUUUCUUAUCAUUAAAUGCAACUCUUUGAAGUAACUUCAUGCAAAUAUGAAAUAUAUUUCAUAUACCUGAAAGGAAAUCACAUGCUUUUGGAUUUACCAUUUUAGUUUAGUGCAGGAUUGGUCGUCAAUAACAUUUCAUUUUUUGUUCUGUUAAGAUUUCCCUGAAUCUGUAGGCUUAACUUCCAAAAAUUGGCAUCUACAUGGUCAUUGGUAAAUGCUGUUACACAAUUUCUUUUACUGCAUCAUUUAUAUGAAGACGUUUAGGAUUUACCUGGGAUCAAAUAAUGCUCAAAAUCCAACAAUCGAAAAACAAGACAUUCCCAGCCUAAAUCUCUAUAUUGUUUAAGCUCCUUCCGAAAAUUGACUCGACUAUCAUUUUAAUUGUGAUUCUAAAUUCAGGUUAGAAUAUAAACAGCUUAAUGAGAACAACUUGCUAUCAAUUGGUCAAGAAACUUCAACUGCCCCACCCCCACAAACACUGAAAAACCUUUCCUUUUUCCAUUAAUUAACCACCCCAUGCCCAUAUGGCUCUUGUCAGUCGUUUUCUCCUUCCUCUUCAUCUAAAAAGCAGCGGAUAAAUUCCAUUUUCCUACUGAUUUUGUUCUUCUACACAUGGUGCACGCCCAAAAAGUUUCUGCUACAUUGAAUUUCCUUGUUUCUUUUUGUUCAACUCCCGAAACAGAUCCAACACCCAUAUGUUUUCUGCAGAUUGAUUAUGAAAUUUCGUUAUGUUCCGAGUUAUUCAGGAACCCUUUUUCUCUUUACAUCCAAGAACAGGUAAAAAAAGUGUAAGGGGUGAAGUCUAAGAUUUCAUUGAUUUCCACGUGAGAGAUGUACACUUUUUGGCUGUCAAAGCAUAUGAAUUCUUUAUUUCAUUGUUGUUAUUUUCAGUAGAUAUUUUAUCUUCUCUCUCUCUCUUAUUGUUUUCUGUUUGGUCAGUAUGAUGUGUUAUAAUUUUCUUAGCUGGCAUUUAGGAUAAAUCUCUCUCAACGUCUUUCUCUCUUUGGAUGGAAGCAAAACAAAAAGGGCCUAAAACAAAUCCAGAUGGGAGUGUCUGAGGAAGCUCACAAGUAAGUUUCUUUGGGACCCUUUUCUCUGAUCACUCUCUGUCUUUCAGUCUUUCUUCACAUAGAACUUAUUAUGAGAUGAGGGCCGACCAUUUCCACACACAUUGCCCACCUUCCACUGUCCCUUCCCUUCAUCAUCUUCUGUUGGCCCAUUUUCCAGCUCUCUCUCGUCUGUCACCACUCAGUUCUGAGUAAGAAGAUGAAAUGAGAACAACGAUAAAAUAGUAAACCAAAGAUAGAAAAAGACUAUGAAAAAGAAAGAUAUGUUGUCUUUAUCAUCUUUUUAGAUCAACAAGCUAACUAGUAAGACAGACUAUAUUUAUGUUACUUUUUCAUUUUUCAUCAGUUAUUAAGAAGGUCACGUUAAAGUGAAGAAAAGAAAAGAAAAAAAUGUCUAAAGUGGCCAUCGUCACGAGACUUUAAUUAUAGCAAUAACUAGCAUAUUAACUAGAUAAAGGUAGAUGUAAGUUUUGGGUUGCCAAGUGUCCAUAUAAAUCUGUAAAGUUCCUAGAGACAAUAAAUGGUUGAAGUUAUUAAAAUUUCUUGGUGUUCAUAAAAGAACAAAGGAAAAACAAUAAGAGUUUUCACAUGUCACAGAAUCAAGAGCAAAUAAAGGGUUUUUCGUAAGGAAUCUAAGGUUAUUUUGAUCUAUAAGACGGCAUGCAUUUGCUUUCACACACCCUAUAUCUAAAAUUCUAACCUUAAAAGAGGACUCAGCCCCAAUAUAGGUGCCAUAACUAGUAUCCACUAUUUUUUAUUGCAUUCUUAACAAUCUUCUCUAGAACAAAGAAUUAUUAGGCCUCCCCUUGACGAUAUUUCCAUUAAAUCAUGUAACUUGUUGGGAUGAAUAAGCUCACCCUAUUUGUUCAAUGUUUGAAGGAUUUCAUCCAAACAAUGAAAUUGUCUAAGGCGGCUCAUUUAUCUCCUUGUUCAUAUAAAAUUCCUUGAGACUCAGACUUCAUAACCUAACCAAUAGAGAUGCAGCCUUUCCAAUGAACUAAGGAGGUUCCUCACUUCGAAUAUUCAAUAUGGGCUCUAAUAACCACAUGAUCCUUAAUCUAAAAUUUCUCCAUUGAUGUCAACAAAAACAUCUUAAUCUUUGUGAGUGAAAAAAUGAAAAAAUUCUUAUUUGGUCAAAGAGUAAACAACAUUAUGAGAUGAAAUGUCUGCAUUAAUAAGAUCUUCUCUCAUGGUAUCCAAGCUUUAACGUGAAGAAGAGACCACACAAAACAGAUAGAGAACAGGGAAAUGUAAAGAAAACUCCAUAUGUAACAGCCUGAAUGGGACAGAUGCAGUUGAAAAACACAGUCCCAAGCUACCAAUAAACGUUCUGAACUUAAUUUUAAAGUUUCAGUCUCUCCUCUUUUGACAAACAGAACUCCCAAGUAAUAAUUGAAGUUUGAUCUGCCAAAAGGAGAGGAAAAAAAAAAGGCAAAUUGCAAUAACCACUUGAGUGGUAGUUGCAAUUACAUUCUUAAACUUUUAAUUGUUAAAAUUGAGUCCUCAAACGUAAAAUAAUGGUAGAAUUUGGACUUCCGAAUGAUAAAAAUUGAAUCCUUAAAUGGCUCAAACUUAUAUAAUUGUUCCAAUUUCUACUAUUACGAGGGUUCAAUAUUAACACUUUUAUAAGUUUGAGGGUUCGAUUUUACAAUUGAAAGUUUGAGGGUAUAAUUGCAAUUACCAUCCAAUUGAGGAUGGUUUUUGCAAUUUGUCAAAAAAAAAAAAAAAAAAAAAAAAAAAAAAAAAAAAAAAAGAAAA
Non-coding RNA from Benincasa hispida (wax gourd), 4395 nucleotides. NCBI's taxonomy places the organism in Eukaryota, Viridiplantae, Streptophyta, Magnoliopsida, Cucurbitales, Cucurbitaceae. The record is from RefSeq and is a predicted model, not a curated record.